RNAcentral lists this ribosomal RNA (301 nucleotides) under uncultured bacterium. RNAcentral describes it as "partial 16S ribosomal RNA". It matches the Rfam family "Bacterial small subunit ribosomal RNA", at positions 509 to 807 of the family's 1533-position model. The record is from RNAcentral.
CAGCCGCCGCGGGAAUACGAGGGGGGCAAGCGUUGUUCGGAAUUAUUGGGCGUAAAGGUUGCGUAGGCGGUUCAGCAAGUCUCGUGUGAAAUCUUCGGGCUCAACCCGAAGUCUGCACGGGAAACUACUGGGCUUGAGUAAUGGAGAGGUGAGUGGAAUUUCCGGUGUAGCGGUGAAAUGCGUAGAUAUCGGAAGGAACACCUGUGGCGAAAGCGGCUCACUGGACAUUUACUGACGCUGAUGCACGAAAGCUAGGGGAGCAAACAGGAUUAGAUACCCCCGUAGUCCCUGUCUCUUAUAC